AACGCGAAGAACCUUACCAAGGCUUGACAUGCAGGGAAAAGCCGUGGAGACACGGUGUCCGUAAGGGUCCUGCACAGGUGGUGCAUGGCUGUCGUCAGCUCGUGUCGUGAGAUGUUGGGUUAAGUCCCGCAACGAGCGCAACCCUUAUCCUAUGUUGCCAGCGGGUAAUGCCGGGGACUCAUGGGAGACUGCCGGGGUCAACUCGGAGGAAGGUGGGGAUGAGGUCAAGUCAUCAUGCCCCUUAUGUCUUGGGCUGCAAACAUGCUACAAUGGCCGGUACAGAGGGCUGCGAGACCGUAAGGUGGAGCGAAUCUCAAAAAGCCGGUCUCAGUUCGGAUUGGGGUCUGCAACUCGACCCCAUGAAGUCGGAGUCGCUAGUAAUCGCAGAUCAGCAACGCUGCGGUGAAUACGUUCCCGGGCCUUGUACACACCGCUGUA
Molecule: ribosomal RNA, 438 nt
Filed under: uncultured bacterium
Lineage: Bacteria
Description: bacterial SSU rRNA
Rfam family: Bacterial small subunit ribosomal RNA
Source: RNAcentral